RNAcentral lists this unclassified non-coding RNA (3027 nucleotides) under Hevea brasiliensis (rubber tree). Lineage: Eukaryota; Viridiplantae; Streptophyta; Magnoliopsida; Malpighiales; Euphorbiaceae. The record is from RNAcentral.
UUAUGAUCCAAUUGGGGUAAGUUAUCUAAGCUAUCCAGUUGCAGAAAACUAAAUCUGUAUGGUCGCAUAGAAUCGCAUCCCAGACCUCAUCCAGUCGAAUCCUUCAACGAAGCAAAGCGCUUCACUUGCUUCACAGAUAAUAGAUCUCGCACUUCUUUAAUAAUUUGGAGAGAGAUAUAGAGAAGAAAAAAUGAUGAUGAUUGAUACAGCCACUGCCGUUCGAUUUCCCGCCGGCGCAAAUGUUUGCUCCUCCACUGCCAUAUCUCGUGACUCUCUCCCUCUGUUCCCGCUAUACAAUUUCUACAUUUUUUUAAUUUUUGUGUUCUUUCAGUUCAUAAAGAGCUUUAGAACUUGGUUCAAAGGCUCAACCAAGCUUCGUUUGAUAGUUUUACUGGAAUUUCAUGCAUUUUCUCAACCAACAGAGAAUAACACUUUUGUCGUUGUAGAUUAUCGUCAUACGUGGAACUUGGAGGAAGUUAACGCCCUCCACAUCAGUUCUCGCCCGCUUAUUCGUUCUGGCAGCUUCACCGUACCUUGGUACUGAUUGCUGAAUUUACUUUUUAGUUUUUUUAAUUGUAAAUGCCAAGCUAAAUUGAGAGUUUCAGCUUGGAAUCUUCAUUAUCUACUAAAGAAAUUGUGAAACAUAGAGAAAAUUUUCACUGCUGGUGUAGUGCUAGCACUUUUAAUUAGUGUUGAAAGGUGAAGGAUUUUAACGCGUUGAAUCUUGUACUUUUAAUCAUCUUUGAAGACGUGAAAACCUAAACUUGAAAGAUUAAACGAGUAGUUAUGGAAACUAAUACAGGAGUAAGUCUCGGAGAUUAAAUGGUGGUGCUUUUUUAAGGAGCAGUCUUUUAAAGAAUAGGAUUCGAGCAUCUUCAGAGCAUUUAGGCUCGGCCUCGGGUCCCUCAAAGCCGAAGGACGGCAGACAGCGAUACCAUCCCUUUGAGGAGAUUGCAGAGUCAGCUUCAGAAAAUAAUGGAGAUGCAAUGCUCACACCUCAAGAGACUGCUAGGACCAUUGUUGAGGUAUCAUUUUGGAUUUAUUAACCAAAUAUACUUUUCGUUUGAGAUUAAUCUGAGACCCAUUAGAAUGUUACUGGGAUGAUUCUGCUUAUGUAUUGGCUCAUCCUUUGUGUAAGUUUGGAUAGCUAAUGUUGCCUGUAGAGUGUUACAUUCAGGUCAACAGCAAAGCAAUUCUAAUGCUGACUGGUUUGAUCAAUGGUGAUAUUCAUGAGAAUAUUGUUUGGCCAGACUUGCCUUAUGUUACUGAUGAACAAGGAAGUACGUCCAGUAUUUGAAGUUCAUUUUUCCCAUCCUUAUUUAUUUUACUCUGGGAAUCUAAGCCUUCAUUUGUGCAAUUGAAAGAUUUAAUCUUCUCUAAUGUGUCGCAGACAUAUACUUUCAAGUGAAGAAUGAUGAAGACAUUUUGCAAACCCUUACUUCAGAAAAUAAUUUUGUGGUAUGAGAUAUCUCUUCUCAUGGCAGUGCGUUUGCAUGCACGCACGCAUGGGAAUAAACAUAAACAUGCACAUAUCAUGUUGGUCUUUAAAUUGUAAAGAAAACCUUCUUUUUUGGUUUUUGACGGAAGGUGGAUGUAUAAUCAAUUUCAUUGGGCCUUGAACCUUUUCAUGAGACGAUAUAAAAAUGAAAAUGCAUUUUAUUUCGGGCUUAAAGAGGAGCAAAAAUGGACAAUUUUUUGGUAACUUGAACAUGCUGUUAUGUACUACAAAUACAAUGGUGGCAUUUCAGUGUUCUUUAUUUUCAUGAUAGUUUCUUAAGAUCUGUGCACUUUUAUGCUUGAUGCAGCAAACCAUUAUAGGCUUUGAUGCCAUGGAAAUGAUCAGUGAGAUGGAGUUAGUAGGUUCAUCAGAAAUUGAUUUUGGAAUUGAGGAAAUUGAAGAAGAGGAUGGUGAUGUUGAAGAUGAUGAGGAUGAAGAUGAGGAUGAUGGAGAUGAAGAUUAUGAUGAGGACCUGGUAGCUGCUAUUGAAGAUGAAGAUGAUUCUGAUGAGGCACUUGGUGACUGGGCAAAAUUGGAGACUAUGUGUUCUUCUCAUCCAAUGUAUUUUGCAAAAAAGAUUGCACAGGUUGCACUAGAUGAUCCUAUAGAUUGGAUGGAGCAGCCUCCGGCUGGUUUAGCUAUCCAGGGCCUCAUAAGACCUGCCUUCAUUGAAGAACACCCUGACAUCCAGAGGCAUGUGUCUGGCAACCAGUCACGUCAUGCUGACAUAAAUGAGGUUGGGAAAAAUUUAGAUGACAGACCAGAUCUUGGUGGGAUCAAUGGUCACAAACAUGAACCAGGAUCAUCUGAAGAUAAUUCGAACUGGGCAGAGGAAUCGGAGAAGGAUCAUAUCCCAAGGAAUGGGACUUCAUUUUACAAGAUGGAGAUGAUUAAAAUUCAAUUAAUUUCAGCUCAUGGACAUCAUACCGUGGUUGAAGUGGAAGACUUUAGAGAGGCUCAACCUGAUGCUAUUGCACAUUCAGCAGGCAAAAUUUUAUCUCGUCUGAAAGCUGGCGGGGAAAAAAUCUCACAGGCCUUGAAAUCUCUGUGUUGGAGAUGCAAGGGUAUUCAAGUGGAGGUAACACAAAUUUGAUUCUGAAUCCAUUUGGGAAUGUGCUAAAUCUUCUUUGGAUAUGUUUUGCACUGUUUUUGAAAUUAUAUUAUGCCUGAAUUACUUGCAUUCUUACUGCUGCUGUGAUUUUGGAAUUGGGAAAUUCAUUUUUGAACAUAUCAGUGCCCCCUUUCUCUCUUGCUCCUUUUUCCUCCUCUGUGUACACUUUUGAUUUUCUUGAAAACACUUUAGAGUUUUGGAAAAAGAUUGUUUGUAUUAAAUUUUUCCCUUAUGUCCAAUUAAAUUUUGUUCCAAUCCUUUAGACAUGGGAUAUAUUUCAGUUGAUGUUUUAGUUAAUCGGUUCUUCUUGUCAUUUUUCAUAGGAGGCAGCGCUUAUUGGUGUAGAUUCCCUUGGUUUUGAUUUGAGGGUUUGCUCUGGAACACAAAUUCAAACGUUGCGGUUUGCAUUUAAUUCACG